This is a non-coding RNA of Biomphalaria pfeifferi, 232 nucleotides long. NCBI's taxonomy places the organism in Eukaryota, Metazoa, Mollusca, Gastropoda, Planorbidae. The record is from the annotation of a GenBank genome assembly.
UAUAUAUAUAUAUAUAUAUAUAUAAUAGUAAGUAAAUACAUUGGUAAUGGGUGUCCACUUAUAAUAAUGUAUGGCUCAUGUGAUGAGCCAACUACCUUUUGAUAACAACUCCAUACUUAUAUAAAUCAUCAUGACUGUUUCCUCAUUGUUUUGAUAUUGUUCCCUUCUGUAUGUUUGUCCAAGUCUAUUUUUGUAUUUCACUUAUUACACUUGUUUUGUUCAACACAGUUAU